Trichophyton benhamiae CBS 112371 is the source of this 213-nucleotide non-coding RNA. NCBI's taxonomy places the organism in Eukaryota, Fungi, Ascomycota, Eurotiomycetes, Onygenales, Arthrodermataceae. The record is from Rfam.
CAGCCUUUGCCAACACUCUGGCCUGUACCGGCGCGAAUGUUUUCAUUUGAGCAAAAUCUCUACGGUACUGGCCUAUUUUGGUGCAAAGGAGAUCGAGUGACCAACUACUCACCGCAGUAUCCUGGAUGGUGCUCGGGUAUGGUUUCCUUUCGGGGAAAUACAUGUCCAUGCAUCUAUCUUGUGGAUGCGGUGGUCCAUCUUGAAGGUCUACAU